RNAcentral lists this long non-coding RNA (769 nucleotides) under Felis catus (domestic cat). RNAcentral's name for it is "lncRNA (ENSFCAG00000046142.1)". Lineage: Eukaryota; Metazoa; Chordata; Mammalia; Carnivora; Felidae. The record is from RNAcentral.
AUUUCUCUGUCAGGCUUAUGGCGAGGCAUACAAGGGGCGCUCGCCACCCAGAAAUGAUGCACGUGGGGGACUUCGACAUCACAGGCCACAUCCGUCCCGGGAAUGGCCUCGCCCUUCAGAGAGCAGUGUCACCUCCACAAGAUGCCGGCUGCUUAUGCGGAGGCUGUGGCACGAGGAGAUGGCAGGAGACUCACCGUCAACGUCGGGAUGAGCAGAUUCUAGAACCGCUCCCACUCCGUGCCCAGCGUUGCUCUACUCUGGGCAGCGAGAGACAGCGACACCACUUUGUCUGAGCCAUUUGGAUCGGGUGGCCUGUGGCUUGCGGCCAAAUACGUCCUCAGGGAGACAAGGCUCACGUGCCCAGGCGACCCAGAACCCAGACUCAGGAGACCUGAGUUGAUUCCAGUCCCAGCUCCCCCGGAAAUUUAACCCGAUGUCACUCUCUUUGCCUGCACAGCGUGGAGCGAGAAAAUGGAUCCACUUUGCGGCGCAGUUAACUCUAUGGGAAACAACGAUAAUUGCUCUGGAACCGAACACCAGCCUCCCCCUGCGCUCACUGAGAACGAGGCAGAUUCUCCCACUCGCCUAUAAUGUGGCUCAGAACACAAAUGCCUUUUCUGGUCCGUGCUGGGAAUCAUUCCUGAAACUCAUCUGGUACAGAAGCAAAGGCCGCUUCCUGGGUCGAGGGGUCUCCUUUGGGGGUGAAUCAACGUCCUCAAAACACGCAGAAAACCCCGUUUGUCUGAACAAGGACCACAGAGUCUGGUGA